UCUCUCCCUCUCCUUUCCUCUCUUCUUCUUCUUCCUUUCUCCGGUGACCGGCCAGCGACGUUCCAAGCAGUUCCCCACCCGGCCGGCGACCCUCCGGCGAUGGCCAGACCACCAGAAAACGGCGGCAAGAGAGGGAGAAGAGAGAGAAAACGCGUGCACAGUGGGCAGCGGCUUUCUGGCGCGAUUUCGGCUUCAUCCGACGUUCGAUCGAGGCGAUUCCGGUGGCGUUGGAAAGCUUGUUCCGAGAGCUUUCUUUUGAUACCAAUUUUGAAGCAAAUGGAGGUCGGAUGAGUGAGAUAUGGAUGAGAGAAGUUUCGGGUUUUUCAAGUUUUUCGUCAGAUCUAUGACGAUCCGACCGUUGGAUCGACGAUCCGAGACCACCUGUGGACUGAGGAAGAGGAGAGGAACAUGGUGGUAUGAUCAGAUUCGGCAAAUGUUGCCGGGGACCGGCGGCCGGCCACCGUGCGCGGUGGUGCCGGCGGUGGCUCCGGUGAGCUAUGGAGAUGGUUCAACUUCCAGAGGCUUCCUCAUAAAUUUUUGGAAUUUUUGAGACACAGAUAAACUUCGGGUGAUCGAGGUCAGCUAUUUUUCUGCAUCCAGCAGCCCCAAUAGUCAUCGGUGUACUGUGAGUAAAAUAUUAAUUUUAAUUGUAAUUUCACUAUUAUUAUAUGUUCAAGCAUGCCCAUGCAUCACUUAUAUGCAUAUAUUUAUGUAGAUAAACUCUAGGCACGUUUUAUGUUGCAUUCACAACUGUUAAAGUGCCAUGUAUGUUGUUGUGGUAAUUUGGAGCAGUGUGCGUGCGUUGGCGUGAGUGUGAUGUGGUGUGGACUAUGGAUAGGACGGGUAGACACGGCUUGAGAUCUUCGCUGGGACCCGGUCCUUCGGGGUAGACACGGCUUGAGUUCUUCGCUGGGACCCCGAUUUGGUUAUUAAGUGGAAGUCCAAGCUGAGUUCUUCGCUGGCACAGUUGGAAUUAAGAGAGCUGUAUAGGGGAUCAGCUCCCAUAAAUUAUGAUUGAUAUUAGUGGGUGUGUGAGUGCUCCAAAUUACCUUUUUGUUGUUAUGAUAUGAAAAUUAUUGCUGAUGUUGCAUUUCAUCCUACAGGGUGCAUUAGCUUGAGAUAGUUAUAGAGAUUAUGGUUAAAAUUGAUAUUUUACUCUCUGAGUCGAACGCUCAUUCCUGUUCAAUAUUUUUCCAGGCCACAGGAGGAGUUAUUUUACAGAGCAACCUGUUUCCUUCCUCGCAGGUUUAACGUCGAUUAUUUAAUUGUUUUACUAUCUUUUCUAAAUUUAAAAUCUAGAACUCCGCAUGUGUUAGUAAUAGUGUGGACCUUGUUAGAAAUUGUGUUAAUAUAAAUUUUUGAAAUUUAUAAAUGAAGAUUUGUAUGAUAUUUAAACUGUUUGUAAAUGAGGUAACAGGGUUGAGCUGGGCUCCCCUGAUUUUAGUUUCUGAAAAA
This is a long non-coding RNA of Hevea brasiliensis (rubber tree), 1455 nucleotides long. RefSeq lists it as uncharacterized. The transcript is spliced from 2 exons. The record is from RefSeq and is a predicted model, not a curated record. NCBI's taxonomy places the organism in Eukaryota, Viridiplantae, Streptophyta, Magnoliopsida, Malpighiales, Euphorbiaceae.